RNAcentral lists this ribosomal RNA (392 nucleotides) under uncultured bacterium. RNAcentral describes it as "partial 16S ribosomal RNA". It matches the Rfam family "Bacterial small subunit ribosomal RNA", at positions 523 to 918 of the family's 1533-position model. The record is from RNAcentral.
AUACGGAGAAUCCGAGCGUUAUCCGGAUUUAUUGGGUUUAAAGGGUGCGCAGGCGGCCAUUUAAGUCAGCGGUUAAAUCGUGGGGCUCAACCCCAUUCUGCCGUUGAUACUGGGUGGCUUGAUUGCGGUCGAGGUUGGCGGAAUUCGUUGUGUAGCGGUGAAAUGCAUAGAUAUGACGAAGAACACCGAUUGCGUAGGCAGCUGACCAGACCGCAAAUGACGCUCAUGCACGAAAGUGCGGGGAUCGAACAGGAUUAGAUACCCUGGUAGUCCGCACAGUAAACGAUGAAUACUUGUUUUCGGCGAUAUAAUGUCGGAGGCAAAGCGAAAGCGAUAAGUAUUCCACCUGGGGAGUACGCCGGCAACGGUGAACCUCAAAGGAAUUGACGGGG